AGGCCCGAUGGAGGGGACAAAUGUUGCCGACGAUGUUGACAAUAUAUACCCAAGUGGUCCAGGUAUAUCACUGUGCAAAUUUCAUGCUUUUUUAUGUGAUCAAUCAUAACUAACAGAUUUGAGCACAACCAUUUCUAAUGGAUCAAGCGUGUGACUUGUAGGGGUCUCCGUUGGAACGGAUGAUACUUGAACAGCCCGAUGGUGUUAACACAUGUGUUCAUCAACCUUCUCAUCUCAUGAUGCCUUAUUCUGUCUAAUUUUUCAUUUUAUUUUACAUGAUGCAGACAACCGUACAAGUUCAUUCCUAUAUAAUGAAGCUUCGUUGCCGGCUCCGAGUAAUCUGACACAGGAUUAUGGGACAGAUGUAGCACAAAGUGCAAAUGGUAAUACCUCAUACGUCUUGCAUGUGAUAUAAUUUGUGGUUAAAGGGGUUUAUGUUGUUCCACCCGGAUACUUCAUAUAUUAACAUAGCUUAUGGCAUUUAUGUUGUUCCAGUUGCUGUACAUGCUCAUGGUCGUGAUGCCUUAGAGGUUUUACCUCUGUCGGAUGCAACAUCCGAACACAUAACAACAGGAUCUGUCAUGAAAAAAACAUAACAGACGGAAAGAGGGAGCAGAAAAACGCCUGGAGGCGAGCUGCUUAUCGGAAGAAUAAAUAGAAUGGUGCGGUCAAGCUCCAAGCUGAAAAUCAUCCUGCCCUUACAAUGACUGGUAUGGUUAUUUAAUGUUUACUUAAUAUGAUCAACAAUGAAUACCUUGCACUUAUCCUCCGUCGACUACUCUCACAUCUGGUUUUAUUAAUGACAAAGAACUAUCUAGCAUCCAACUUAAUAAUGAGGAAAAGAGGGAGCAGAUAAAAGCUCGAAGGCGGGCCGCUUAUCGGAAGAAAGAUGAUGAGAGUUCCAUAAAGCUAAAUACAGAUGUGCAGAAUGUUGCACGGCAUCCUCUCGGUGAUAUCACUAAUGCGUAUCAACCAUCCUCUAUGGACGUUGACGAAAGAAAGGAGCUGAUAAAGGCGCGGAGGCGAGCUGCUUAUCGAAAGAGAAAAGAGGAGGCUACCGUCAAACAACAGAAUGAGAAUCUGUCUGCACUUACGAUAUCAGGUAAGAAUGUUUUAUGUGUCGGCGCUACAAUGAUAGUAUAAAGUAUAUACUCCUGAUUGUCCAUAAUAUAAGGUUAAUAUUGGAUGAAAAGUGAUGAGGGUACCAUCAAUGUACAAGCGGAUGUGCAAAAUGUUCCCAUAUCCCCUCCCGGUGAUAUCACUAAUGGGCAUCAACCAACCUCGUUGUACCUUGACGAGAAAAAGGAGCAGAUAAAGGCUCGGAGGCGAGCUACUUAUCGAAAGAAAAAAGAGGAGGCAGCCGUCAAGCAACAAAAUGAAAAUCUCCCUACCCUGACGAUAUCAGGGAAGUUGGAGAUAAACCCGUGUCCGUGACGUCUAUGUAUGUGUGUCCGUGUAGUAUACGAGUGCAUGUCAUAGUCGGUUUGGGUUGACUCUAGGUAUGAACUAUGGGUGCAGACGUUGGACCCAAACAGCUACAACAACAGAGAUAGAUGGGUAUCAAUCACUUCAAUUUGUUGACGAGUUAUAAGACGGCUACACACUAUGUUUUAUUUCUGGUUAACACCAAUUAGUUGAUUGCGUUAAUUACCUAUAUUUUUAUUGGCUGCAAAAGUUACAACUUUCUAAUCUAAGGUUGUAAUGCAUGAAGUUUACGGCCCGUGCAUUGUCGAAGACACAAACCAGGAACAUUGUAUGGAAAAGAGAG
RNAcentral lists this long non-coding RNA (1768 nucleotides) under Triticum aestivum (bread wheat). RNAcentral describes it as "long non-coding RNA (TAES_LNC027936)". Lineage: Eukaryota; Viridiplantae; Streptophyta; Magnoliopsida; Poales; Poaceae. The record is from RNAcentral.